RNAcentral lists this long non-coding RNA (4857 nucleotides) under Fragaria vesca (wild strawberry). RNAcentral describes it as "long non-coding RNA (FVES_LNC000436)". The record is from RNAcentral. Lineage: Eukaryota; Viridiplantae; Streptophyta; Magnoliopsida; Rosales; Rosaceae.
GACUUUCCAUUACCAAAUUCUUAUGCAAUUAACUUGAUCAUAAUCCAAAGUUGCACAACAAUCACUUCAUCACCAGAGACCAGUUGCUAAUCUUACGGAAACCAUGUUAAGAAACAAAGCCUACCUCAUGUAAACAAUAGUAUGUAAUUUAUGCUUUUUAUAAAGAUCACAUAGCAAAUCAAUAGAAUUAAUAUAAUGUAUACACACAAAUAAAUCAAAGUAAUUAAUAUGCAUUUCAAAUAAACACAUGUAUUAACAGAAACGAAAACAUGAGUCAUAACCAUCAAUAGCUCAAACGACAUAGAACAUAAGACUAAGCUCCUCAAAUUUUGAUCUAUCCAAGUGCAGACUUUCUUCCUUCCACAAUUCCCUCUUACGAAUCACUUGCUCAAAAAAAUCUCAAUCCUCGAAAAUAUCUCAGAAACUUUUGCACCUGUAGCUAUAUAUUACACACCAAGGAAAACUUGAAAAUUGUAAAUCUCUCAACCCAGCCAAAUGAUUAAUGUCGAAUAUAAAGCAUGAAAAUGCAUUUCAACUUCACAUACUCCACCAGAAUCUAGAACCUCAAGCUAUCCUAAAUACGCCCAAGCCUACUCUUCCAACUUCCUACUAUUGACCAAAAAUAAAGCCUGCUUACCACAAAAUCUGGUAACAUGUUCCUAAGAGAACCUAAUUUAACUCCUAAUAAAGUUGCACCUGGCCUUCUAUAAAAGUUUCUCCAAACCUAUUAAAUGUCUCUUUAAGACAAUAAUUCUCCAUACCUAGUUUAGUACUCCAAGAGAUCUGCCGAAACUACUUCUCAAAGUAUGUGCAUUUUGAUCUAAUCAACGACAACAACAAUGACCUAGAACCUCCGAGAUUACAUUCCAUUACCAAAAUCUUAUGCAAUUAACUUGAUCAUAGUCCUAAGUUGCACAUCAAUCACUACAUCACUAGACACCAGCUGCAAAUCUUACAGAAACCAUCUUAAGAAACAAAGCCUAGUAAAGCCUAACACAUGUAAACAAUAGUAUGUAAUUUACGCUUUAUAUAAAGAUCACAAAGCAAAUCAAUCGAAUUAUUAUAUUGUAUACACACAAAUAAAUCCAUGUAACGAAUAUGCAUUUCAAAUAAACACAUGUAUUGACAUAAAGGAAACCAUCAGAUUCAUAACGAUCAAUAGUUCAAUCGACAUAGAACAUAUGACUUGAGCUCCGAAAAUCAUAACUUAAUCUACAAAACUCCUUUUUAAGAGAUUCAAAUUCAGGAAUGAUGUUUAACAUCUGUACUAUAACUUUUAUGCAGACAACAACUUCAAAUACACAACUGAAAUGCACCGAUUUUAGUAAAAAGGCUGCUGGGUCAAAAACUCAGAAAACUGAUUUGCAGAAUUUCUUACUGCAGACCCUAAUUGUAUUUUUAAUCCUGAUUUUGUUUCUCCUUUAGUCUCCUCCCUUCUCUCUCCUUUGUUUUCUUACUUCUUUCUAAAAGUUGUUAUAAGUUUGGGCUCGGGGUUUGGGUUCACUAACUAUUGGGUCAAGGUUAAUGUCAUGGGUUAAAAGUAGGGUUAAUCUCAAAAACUUAAGUACCUAUAGCUAUAUAUUACCUACUAACGUAAACAUGAAAAUUGUAAAUCUCUCAACUCAGCCAAAUCAAUAAUGUCGAACAUAAUGCAGGAAAAUGCAUUUUAUCCUAUCAUACUGCACCAGAUUCUAGAACCUAAACUCCUCAAUACGCCCAAGCAUACUCCUCAAACUUACUACUAUUGUUCCCAUGUAUUUACCAAAAUAAAGCCUAUUUACCACAAAAUCGGGUAACAUGUUCCUAGGAGAACCUAAUUUAACUCCUAAUAACCUUCCACUCCAAAACUAUUAAAUCUAUCUUCACAAUAACAAUUUUCCAUACCUAGUUUAGUACUCCAAGCGAUUUGCCGAAACUACCUCUCAAAGUAUAUACAUUUUGAUCUAAUCAACGACAACAACAAUGACCUAGAACCUCCGAGUCUACUUUCCAAGUACAGACUUUCUUCCUUCCACAAUUCCCUCCAAUGAAUCACUUGCCCAAAAUAAUCUCAAUCCUCGAAAAUAUCUCAAAAACCUCUGUACCUAUAGUUAUAUAUUACCUACCAAAGAAAACUUGAAAAUUGUAAUCCCAACCCAGUGAAAUGAUUAAUGUCGAACAUAAUGCACAAAAAUGCAUUUCAUCUUCUCAUACAGCCCCAGAUUCAAAAACGUCAAACUAUCCCCAAUAUGCCCAAGCCUACUCCUCAAACUUCCUACUACUGUUCCCAAGUAUUUACCAAAAAUAAAGCCUGCUUAACAAAAAAUCUGUUAACAUGUUCCUAGGAGAACCUAAUUUAACUCCCAAUACCUUUGCACCAGGCCUGUUAUAAAAGUUUCACCAAACCAAUUAAUUGUCUCUUCAAAACAACAAUUCUCCAUACAUAGUUUAGUACUCCAAGCGAUCUGCCGAAGCUACUUCUCAAAGUAUGUACAUUUUGAUCUAUUCAACGACAUCAACAAUGACCUAGAACCACCGAGUCUACUUUCCAUUACCAAAAUCUUAUGCAAUUAACUUGAUCAUACUCCUAAUUUGCACAUCAAUCACUUCAUCACCAGAGAACAAUGGUUAAUCUUACAGAAACUAUCUUAAGAAACAAAGCAUAGGAAAGCCAAACUCAUGUAAACAAUAGUAUGUAAUUUAUGCUUUAUACAAAGAUCACAUAGCAAAUCAAUCGAAUUAAUAGAUUGUAUACAUACAAAUAAAUCCAAGUAAUUAAUAUUCAUUUCAAAUAAACACAUGUAAUGACAGACAGGAAAUCAUGAGUCAUAACCAUCAAUAGUUCAAACGACAUAGAACAUAAGACUAAGCUCCUCAAAUUUUGAUCUAUCCAAGUACAGACUUUCUUCCUUCCACAAUUCCAUCUUAUGCUUUAAUAAAGAACACAUAGCAAAUCAAUCGAAUUAAUAUAUUCUAGACACAAAUAAAUCCAUGUAAUUAUUAUGCAUUUCAAAUAAACACAUGUAUUGACAGAAAGGAAAUCAUAAGAGUCAUAACGAUCAAUAGUUCAAUCGACACAGAACAUAAGACUUAAGCUCCGGAAAUUGUUAUCUAUCCAAAUAGAGACAUUCUUCCUUCCACAAUUCCCUCGUAUUAAUCACAAGCGCAAAAUAAUCUCCACCCUCGAAAUAUCUCAAAAACUUAUGUACCUAUAACUAUAGAUUACCAACCAAAGUAAACUUGACAAUUGUAAAUCACAAGACUCAGCCAAAUGAUUAAUGUCAAACAUAUCGCACGAAAAUGCAUUUCAUCUUCUCAUACUGCACCAGAUUCUAGAACCUCAAACCAUCCUCAAUACACACAAGUCUACUCCUCAAACAUCCUACUAAUGACCAAAAAUAAAGCCUGCUUCCAAAAAAAUCUGGUAACAUGUUCAUAGGAGAACCUAAUUUAACUCCUAAUAACCUUGCACCUCGCCUGCUAUAAAAGUUUUUCCAAACCUAUUAAAUGUCACUUUAAAAAAACAAUUCUCCAUACCGAGAUUAGUACUCCAAGCGAUCUGCCGAUACUACUUCUCAAAGUAUGUACAUUUUAAUGAUAAUCUUACAGAAACCAUCUUAAGAAACAAAGCCUAAUAAAGCCUAACUCAUGUAAACAAUAGUAUGUAAUUUAUGCUUUUUAUAAAGAACACAACAAAUCAAUCGAAUUAAUAUAUUGUAUACACACAAAUAAAUCCAUCUAAUUAAAAUGCUUUUCAAAUAAACACAAGUAUUGACAAAAAAGAAAUCAAAAGAUUCAUAACGAUCAAUAGUUCAAUCGAAAUAGAACAUAAGACUAAGCUCCUCAAAUUUUGAUGUAUCCAAGUACACUUUCUUCCUUCCGAUAUUCCCUCUUAUGAAUCACUUGUUCAAAAUAAUCUCAAUCCUCGAAAAUAUCUUAAAACCUUUUGUACCUGUAGCUAUAUAUUACACACCAAGGAAAACUUGAAAAUUGUAAAUCUCUCAACCCAGCCAAAUGAUUAAAGUCGAACAUAAUGCACGAAAAUGCAUUUCAUCUUCACAUACUGCACCAGAUUCUAGAACCUCAAGCUAUCCUAAAUACGCCCAAGCGUACUCUUCAAACUUCCUACUAUUGACCAAAAAUAAAGCCUGCUUACCACUAAAUCUGGUAACAUGUUCCUAGGAGAACCUAAUUUAACUCCUAAUAACGUUGCACCUGGCAUGCUAUACUAUUAAAUGUCUCUUUAAAACAAUAAUUCUCCAUACCAAGUUUAGUACUCCGAGCGAUCUGCCGAAACUACUUCUCAAAAUAUGUACAUUUUGAUCUAAUCAACGACAACAACAAUGACCUAGAACCUCCGAGUCUACUUUCCAAGUACAGACUUUCUUCCUUCCACAAUUCCCUCCAAUGAAUCACUUGCCCAAAAUAAUCUCAAUCCUCGAAAAUAUCUCAAAAACCUCUGUACCUAGAGUUUUAUAUUACCUACCAAAGAAAACCUGAAAAUUGUAAUCCCAACCCAGUGAAAUGAUUAAUGUCAAACAUAAUGCACAAAAAUGCAUUUCAUCUUCUUAUUCUGCACCAGAUUCUAAAACGUCAAACUAUCCUCAAUAUGCCCAAGCCUACUCCUCAAACUUCCGACUAUUGUUCCCAAGUAUUUACCAAAAAUAAAGCCUGCUGAAUAAGAAUUGCAAAUCUUACAGAACCUAGCGUAAGAAACAAAGCCUAGGAAACCCAAAAUCAGGUAAACAAUAGUAUGCAAUUUAUGCUUUAAUAAAGAACACAGCAAAUCAAUCGACUUAAUAUAUUCUAGACACAAAUAAAUCCAUGUAAUUAUUAUGCAUUUCAAAUAAACACAUGUAUUGACAGAAAGGAAAUCAU